GAUGAAGAACGCAGCGAAAUGCGAUAAGUAAUGUGAAUUGCAGAAUCCAGUGAAUCAUCGAAUCUUUGAACGCACAUUGCGCCCCCUGGUAUUCCGGGGGGCAUGCCUGUUCGAGCGUCAUUUCAACCCUCAAGCUCUGCUUGGUAUUGAGUCCAUGUCAGCAAUGGCAGGCUCCAAAAUCAGUGGCGGCGCCGCUGGGUCCUGAACGUAGUAAUAUCUCUCGUUACAGGUGCUCGGCGUGCUUCUGCCAAAACCCCAAUUUUUCUAUGGUUGACCUCGGAUCAGGUAGGGAUACCCGCUGAACUUAAGCAUAUCAAUAAGCGGAGGA
This 328-nucleotide unclassified non-coding RNA is filed under the name soil metagenome. RNAcentral's name for it is "partial contains 5.8S ribosomal RNA, internal transcribed spacer 2, and large subunit ribosomal RNA". The stretch from base 1 to 120 matches the Rfam family "5.8S ribosomal RNA", at positions 35 to 154 of the family's 154-position model. The record is from RNAcentral.